This is a non-coding RNA of Pelobates cultripes (western spadefoot toad), 302 nucleotides long. The record is from the annotation of a GenBank genome assembly. NCBI's taxonomy places the organism in Eukaryota, Metazoa, Chordata, Amphibia, Anura, Pelobatidae.
AUCAGUUACAUCCCACAUAUUCCCUCCCCUUAUCCUGAGAGGAAACUCAAUUACACAUACAGUUAAAACAUACUUUCUACCCAACUUUCAUAACUCUAAAACCAUACAUCACAUUCACAUAAAAUUACAUAUUCACAAUCAAUCCAUUCAGGGGAACAACAUAUUAAAAAAAUGGCAUGAAUCCGACCAGGGGUUCAAAAGUUAGUAAAAGUAUCUUUUGGGCCCUGGCUGGCACAUGGCUAUCUGGCUCAAACAGGUUUUACAGAGCCCUCUAUCCUGGAGACAAUGGGGGAAAGUAAUCC